GCAAAAAGUUAAAGCACUAUCAAGCAUGUAUUAAAAACCCCUUACUUGCUUACUUUAUUUUGAGAUGUUGGCUGUGUCACGAAUUCUAAUCUUGCCAAAUAAUCCCUAACUUACCCUGCCUUUGGCUCUUUUAAGUAGCAGCUGUUUGAUGCUGAUGGCACAAAUUUUGGGAGGUCUCUGUGUUCACUGCUACCUGAAGGCCUCCAUGGAUUAAUCAAUGAGGCCGUAAUAGUGUAUUUAAUCUGAAGUAAGUCGUGCUUGCAAACGAAGCAUGACGUUAUUCUCGAUUCUGUGGUGCCCGUUUUUCGCCGAAACUCAGGAUCUUCAUAGAGUCGCUCACAACUCCAGCACAUCGGUUUACGUGGUGGGCGAGCAUCAAUCCCCCAAAAGAUCACUUCUGUCGCCGAAUAACACAAUGAAUACCGUGCAUGACUUUGACGAUUUCAUCACGCCUUCAUGUCCGCCUCAUUUUGGUCAUUGAUGGCGGCGGCCACAGAUGGGGUGUGGGCAUCAGGGUUAUCCUCAGGGUUGUCCUCAGGGCUGUCCUCAGGGCUGUCCUCAGGGUUGACUUCAGGCUUGACUUCAGGGUUGACAUCGUGGUUGUCCUCAGGGUUGUUGUCCUCAGGGUUGUUGCCCUCAGGGUUGUUGCCCUCAGGGUUGUUGCCCUCAGGGUUGUUGCCCUCAGGGUUGUUGCCCUCAGGGUUGUUGCCCUCAGGGUUGUUGCCCUCAGGG
Molecule: long non-coding RNA, 732 nt
Organism: Tigriopus californicus
Lineage: Eukaryota; Metazoa; Arthropoda; Copepoda; Harpacticoida; Harpacticidae
Exons: 2
Source: RefSeq, a predicted model, not a curated record